Molecule: microRNA precursor, 78 nt
Filed under: Bombyx mori (domestic silkworm)
Lineage: Eukaryota; Metazoa; Arthropoda; Insecta; Lepidoptera; Bombycidae
Description: mir-2807 microRNA precursor family
Rfam family: mir-2807 microRNA precursor family
Source: Rfam by way of RNAcentral
UUUAGUCAAAUUUGUAUGGAGUUGGAACGUUUGCCUACGUUUGCCGCUAGGGGCGCUGUUCCAGCUGAAUACUAGAUA